UGGCGAACGGGUGAGUAACACGUGGGUAAUCUGCCCUGCACUCUGGGAUAAGCCUGGGAAACUGGGUCUAAUACUGGAUAUGACCUUUCUCCUUAUGGGGUUUGGUGGAAAGUUUUUCAGUGUAGGAUGAGCCCGCGGCCUAUCAGCUUGUUGGUGGGGUGAUGGCCUACCAAGGCGACGACGGGUAGCCGGCCUGAGAGGGUGAUCGGCCACAUUGGGACUGAGACACGGCCCAG
Molecule: ribosomal RNA, 236 nt
Filed under: uncultured Actinomycetales bacterium
Lineage: Bacteria; Bacillati; Actinomycetota; Actinomycetes; Actinomycetales
Description: partial 16S ribosomal RNA
Rfam family: Bacterial small subunit ribosomal RNA
Source: RNAcentral